UUUACAUUUACAUUUUUCAAUAUCAAUAUUAUUAAUUCAGGAUUAUUACUAUUAUUUACCCUUACUUUGUCAUGGAAUAUUACUUCUUUGUGACACUGGACCAACUUUAAAAGACUGAUUAUUUUAUAACUAUCUAAUUUUUAUUUUUUUUUUACGUCAACUAUCUAAUCUAUCCUAUACUAAAAGGUGAAUAUGGAGUGUUUUUAGCCUGUCCACGUAGGCAAAUAUAUUUAACCAAUCAAAACAUUCCAAUAAUACAUGCUGGCAAAAAAACUGGGUAGCAGAUCUCUUGCUUACGUACGGACUGUGUUUGAUGGGCUUCUCCGGUUCGUGUUGGGCUUUGCUACCCAAUUCGAAUAAAAAAAAACUUCAAGGCAAGACGGAUAACACGAAGCUCUACGCUUCUCGCUCUUCGUCUUCACCUUUCUUCACCAUUGUUUCAGUUCUCCCGAUCUAGAACUCCACAAUCAAUACUCCACUACAUCUCCAUCCAUCAAUUCCUUCUUUAUGAUUUCGAUUCCGUUUAGAUUGGUUAGGGUUUAGAUCUCGAUUUGCUCAAUUUGUUGUUCGUUUGCUUUUGUAGGUGGUUACAGUGAAAGUGUUAUUAGCUUAAACGAUGGAGAAGGUGUACGAAGAGCUAGACGAAGUCAAAGCCGUGAAUGAGAAGCUCAGAGGAGGCUUCAGAGCCUAAACGAAGCUUCUUGAGAACCUAAAGAAGGUUCAGAACAAGCAGUUGAUAGAUUCAAGAGGCGAGAUCUGUAAUCGAGAAGCAAGGUUAUGAAUCCGAGGAGAAAGCCAGAGAAAUCUCUGAGUUGAAGCGAACGAACGAGGAUCUGCAACGUUGUUUGAGGGAGAAGGAUUUUGUUCUCAAACGUUUGAAUGAAGCUAACGAUAAGCUUAGAACUGAUGGAGAAGAGAAGAACCGUGGAUUUGAAAAGGAGAGGAGAAAGUUAGUGGUGGCGUUGGAUGAAGCAGGUGAGACGAGCAUUGACUUAGAGCAGAAGAGCAAUGUCUAUAGGGCUGAGAUUGAGGGACUCAAGGGGACUUUAGCGGUGGCGGAGAAGAAGAAGAUUGAAGCUGAGAGGAUUAUGAUCCAACUAAUUAAAGCUAGGAUCCAAAUUUGGCUAUCUGGACAGAAAGAUCUGGACACUGAAAAAAUAUUAAUGUAAGUGAUUUUACGCAUUGUUUAGCUACCAAAUUGUGCUCUGUUAUUCAUAGCUUAGCUUCGUUGGUAGAGCAAGUGAAAAUAUUUAAAACAAAUACAUAUCUGAGCGAGAGUAUAUGAUUGGGUAAUUGAUGUCUCUUGGUUUUUGCAAGUGUUCAAGAAUUCCUGGUGUUCUCUUUGACCUUAUGUUGAUUUAGAGUACAAAAAAUACAGAGGUAAUUACUUUUCUAUUAUCUGCUUGAGGGCUUUGUCUUCGUCAUUUACUUAUCGCCGUUAGCGUUAAAAAGAAGUUUGUGUCAUGUUUGUUGCUUUUAUAUGGCUUGCAAGUUUUGUCUGAAUGACCAGGUGAAGAGAGAGAGAAGCGUCAGUCGCGCUACGUCGGUGCCUCCAUUAGAGAGAAACUGUUUUUAUUGGCAGCAGAGCAGACAAGAAACAACAUGGAGAGUAAUAAUGAAGUCUAUGCUAUGUUAAAAGGUAAAGAUUUGAUAUUGUAAACAUAUGUAUUUAUCACUAGAAGCUAUUUUCUUAUUUUUUGAAUACUAGGCAUGGUGUAGCUGCUGCUAAUUUUUUUACUCAGUUCUCACCUUGGUCAUCUUCUUUAUUGAAUGUCUUCUUCCAUUCACAAACAGGUUUGAAUUCUUGGACAUGGUGGUGAUGCACGAAGUGUUAUUGUGGGCACAAGGAAAGUUUGUGACCACACAACCUUUUUUUGGUUCUAAAAGUUCCAUGUUUCAGACCAUAAACAGUUUCCUCUCAUUGCAGGGCUUGUGAGGAACAUAUACUUCCCGUUUGACAUAGAAAGCAACACAGCAAUUAGCGUUGCAAGAGAGAUGGUGGAAGAGCUGGAGAUGGACGACCGUGAUGUGACAAAGAUAGCUAACAUGAUCGAUGGAGAGAUUGCUUCUCUGGUUCCUGAUUGGAGAUCAGGCCUAGGGUUUGAGAGCAGCCUUUGCAACUGCACCUCGAACCGGUCAGCUAUAGACUUCAACGUGAGGCAGUGUUGUACAAACAUGUGUGGAGAGAAGCAUGGACGGUUUGAGGAGAUCACUUCGGGACUACACAACUUUGGCAAAGCUUUAUAUUCCCAUGGAAAAAUGACAUUUUCGCUGUCUUUUGUUAAUAUGUGUAGAAUUAUUUACAGUAAUGCUGACAAACCAAGAAAUAUCACAGUAAUUAUUUAAUCAUAGCUCAUUAGGCUGGUGACUGUCUUGAAAUUAGUUUAUCA
Long non-coding RNA from Brassica rapa (field mustard), 2390 nucleotides. RefSeq lists it as uncharacterized. The record is from RefSeq and is a predicted model, not a curated record. Lineage: Eukaryota; Viridiplantae; Streptophyta; Magnoliopsida; Brassicales; Brassicaceae.